This is a small nuclear RNA of Puma concolor (puma), 106 nucleotides long. The record is from RefSeq and is a predicted model, not a curated record. NCBI's taxonomy places the organism in Eukaryota, Metazoa, Chordata, Mammalia, Carnivora, Felidae.
GUGCUCGCUUGGCAGCACAUAUACUAAAAUUGGAAUGAUAUGGAGAGGAUUAGCAUGGCCCCUGCACAAGGAUGAAACGCAAAUUUGUGAAGGGUUCCGUAUUUAA